AAAAUUCGUAAACCACGGAUUGGUUCCGGAUUGAAGCCCACGGUUUCAGAUUGGAACCGAUUUGGACCGUAUAGAAAUAGUCUAUAUUUAUACUAUAUAUGCUCCCACAUAAUAUCAUUUCUUCUUUCUUAUAAAAGCUAAACUCCAACCUAAUUCACGCCACUCACUCACUGUCUCUCACUUUCAUCUCUCUCUCUCUCUCUCUCUCAUCUCUCUCUCAUCUCAGAUUGAGUUCUCUCUUGGUACUGUCUCUUACACGCAUCCAUCUCAGAUCAGAUCGGUGAGCUCUCUCUCUCUCUCAGUGUUCUCAAACACAGUCAGCUCAAAUCAUCCAUCUUAAAUUAGAUCGUCAACUCAGAUCAUCCAUCUCAUCUCAGAUCAUCCAUUUUCAGAUUAGAUCGGUAACUGUAGCUGCUUGUCUCUCUCUCGAUGUCAAGUACUAGAGAGACAAAUGAUGUCAUCGACCUCUCUCAGUCUCAGUUUAAGCCAAAACAUGAUCUUCAGCCUGAAACUCCUUCUGGUUCAAAUGUAUGCCCCUCUCCUUCUAAGCCAAAAGCUCAACAAUAUUCUGAAGUUUGGGAGCAUUUUACCAAAAAAUUUUAAAGAAGGGAGUAAGACUGUUGCAUGUGUUAAAUGUAACUAUUGUAAAGUUUCUUAUGCUUGGAUUAGUGCAAAUGGAACUAGUACUUUGAGAAAACAUAUUGGAAACUGUUCUAAGUCCCCUCACAAUAAAGAAAAUAAAAAAUGAAAGACUUUGGCAUUUCAAUCUGUAACAGGUGGUGGAAAAACUCUUAGUGUUUGGAAAAUUGAUCAACAAGCAUGUAGGGAUUCACUUAUUAAAAUGGUAAUCACUAAUGAGUUGUCAUUUAGGUUUGUAGAGCGUGAAGGAUUCCGUCAAUUUUGUAGUGUGAUGCAACCUAAUUUCAAAAAGUUUUCACACUUUACAGUGGCAGGGGAUAUUAUGGAUUUAUACUGUAGUGAGAAGAAAAAAUUGAAAAAUUUGUUAAAGAAAUCAAACUAUAGACUUUGUCUCACUAUGGAUUCGUGGACAUCUUUACAAAAUGUUUCAUACAUGUGCCUAACAACCCACUUUAUUGAUAAAGACUGGAAUUUACUAAAAAGAAUUCUCAACUUUAGUGUGAUUUCUAAUCACAAAGGGGAGGCAAUUAGUAAGGCAGUGGAAUAAUGUUUUGUUGAUUGGGGUAUAGAGAAGAUUGGUACAAUCACUGUGGAUAAUGCAAAUGCAAAUGAUGUAGCUAUUGCAUAUGUGAAAAAUGAAGUUUUCUAAAAACAGUGACUCUUUGAUUUUAAGGGGUGUGUGCUUGCAUAUGAGGUAUUGUGCCCAUAUAAUUAAUUUAAUUGUGAAGGAUGGGUUAAGUGAAAUAAAAGAUUCAAUAACUCGAAUUCGUAAUGCGGUGAAGUAUGUAAGGAGUUCUCCACAACGAAAGCAAUUUUUCAGGACAUGUGCUGAUACAAAUAGGGUAACAUGUAAAAGCUUGUUAUGUCUAGAUGUUCAAACUAGGUGGAACUCCACAUAUCUAGUGCUAGAUAUUGCAAAAAUUUUUUAAAAAGUAUUUGAGAGAUUAGAGGAUGAGGACCCACAUUUCAAACCAAAACUUAAUCAUGGACCUCCUACCACUCAAGAUUGGGAAGAUACUCGUGUUUUUACACAAUUUUUGCACAAGUUUUAUGAUGCAAUUGUUCGCUUGUCUGGUUUUUUGUAUGUCACUUCCAACUUGUACUUCAUUGAAGUUUGUGCUACAGAAAGUGCCUUAACUGAAUGGGGAAAGAGGAAAGAGUUUAGAUCCUUCUUUAAAACCCAUAGCAAUAAAAAUGAAGACUAAAUUUGACAAGUAUUGGGGAAAAAUUGAAAAAAUAAAUAUGAUGUUACUGAUUGUUGUUGUGUUAGAUCCUCGUUAUAAGUUGAAGUAUGUGAGGUUUUGUUAUUUUGAAGUUUAUCAACCUAUCAUGGUGAGUUAGCUCACUCAAAAAGUGAGAGAGACUUUGAAUAACAUUUUUGAUGAGUAUAAACAGUUUGAGACAGUUGCUUCAUCUUCUAAGGAAAUGGUUCAUGAGGUAAACAUUGUUGAUCAAGUAAACAUUGGUGCAAGUGAGCACCAAGUGUCUCUUAUGACAAAAUUUCAAAAACUUUUGGAGGAAGAAGAAGGUGAUGGAAGGAAGUCAGAGGCAGAUAGGUAUUUGAAAGAAUCUUGUGAAAAGGAAGUUGCAAACUUUGACCUCUUAAGUCCGUGGAAGACAAAUUCUUUAAGAUAUAAAGUUCUUUCUCAAGUUGCAAGGGAUAUUUUGGCCAUUCCCGUCUCUACUGUUGCUUUUGAGUCUGCUUUCAGCACAUGAGGUCAUAUUCCUAACCAAUUUCGCAGUUCUCUUACUCCAAAGCUUGUUGAAAGUUUAAUUUGUACAUAAGAUUGGUUACGUGCUUCGCCAUUGCCACUUGAGAUGGAAGAAAACUUUGCAGAUUUGGAGGAUAUAGAAAAAGCUCUAACCAAUGUCAACAUUGUUUCUGGAAUGUGAUUUGGCUUGCUGUAAUGUGGAAUUUGCUACUACUGCCGUUGCGCUGCUGCUACUGUGGUGCUGAAUUUGUUUGUUGUUGUUAUCUCUAUUGUUGUCUACUGCUGCUGAAUUUUGUUCUCGAUGUUUGUUUAAACACCGAUUUGUUUGUUGUUGUUAUCACUGUUUGUUUGUUGUCUAUUACUGCUGC
Long non-coding RNA from Camellia sinensis, 2719 nucleotides. RefSeq lists it as uncharacterized. NCBI's taxonomy places the organism in Eukaryota, Viridiplantae, Streptophyta, Magnoliopsida, Ericales, Theaceae. The record is from RefSeq and is a predicted model, not a curated record.